Molecule: unclassified non-coding RNA, 347 nt
Filed under: soil metagenome
Description: partial contains 5.8S ribosomal RNA, internal transcribed spacer 2, and large subunit ribosomal RNA
Rfam family: 5.8S ribosomal RNA (bases 1-120)
Source: RNAcentral
GAUGAAGAACGUAGCGAAAUGCGAUAAGUAAUGUGAAUUGCAGAAUUUAGUGAAUCAUCGAAUGUUUGAACGCACAUUGCGCCCCCUGGUAUUCCGGGGGGCAUGCCUGUCCGAGCGUCAUUGCUGCCCAUCAAGCACGGCUUGUGUGUUGGGUCCCGUCCCCCUCUCCCGGGGGACGGACCCGAAAGGCAGCGGCGGCACCGCGUCCGGUCCUCGAGCGUAUGGGGCUUUGUCACCCGCUCUUGUAGGCCCGGCCGGCGCUUGCCGACACCCAACCAUUUUUUUCAGGUUGACCUCGGAUCAGGUAGGGAUACCCGCUGAACUUAAGCAUAUCAAUAAGCGGAGGA